GGAAAGAAAGGCAUUGUGGUCUCUGUGGUUUGGUGACAAUGAAAUAAAGCCAAACGACAUGUUGUAGGAGUAUUAUUGGAACAGCAAACAACUGGCGCUCGCGUGUGAAUCCAGUCCGUUCAUCUGCGCGCGCCGCCUGGUGUCUUCCAAAGGCGCGAGCGCUUUAAGCGACUCUGGGACACAUUUUGUCAGCAACCAGCAAGCAUGGCUCUGUGGUAAUAGAAUAGCCCGUGUAAUUUGACACUUCAACUUGCCAUGCACUACGUUAGUUGAUUCAGACAGUCACACUAACGAAACGCCGUGCGCUUUUCUCUCACUGUUUGUGAAGUGUGAGGAGAGAAAACAGAUCGCAACUUCAAAUCCAGGAGAUUUUCGGCGCAGUGCUGUGAUUGGACCUGAAAGUGCGGUGGACCCUAGUGUAGACGGGAGCUUGCAGAGGGACCUUCCCCACGGACUAUAUGAAGGGAAGGGAGGGGAGGGGGAGGGGGGGCUGCUGACGUUACUCCCAGCUUGCAGAACACACAGAGACAAGAACUUUAAUGGCUUCCAGGUAGAGAGAAAGAGGCAGCAGUCAAGAUGAACUCGAUUCCUUCGAUGGACAGGCACAUACAGCAGACCAAUGACAGGCUGCUGUGCAUCAAACAGCACUUACAGAAUCCGGCCAAUUUCCAGACAGCGGCCACGGAGCUACUGGACUGGUGUGGAGACCCACGAGCCUUCCAGCGGCCAUUUGAGCAAAGCCUUAUGGGAUGCUUGACGGUUGUAAGUCGUGUGGCAGCACAGCAGGGUUUUGACUUGGACCUCGGCUAUCGGCUCCUGGCCGUGUGUGCGGCAAACCGCGACAAGUUCACCCCUAAGUCGGCAGCUCUCCUGUCGUCCUGGUGCGAGGAGCUGGGACGGCUGCUCUUGUUGCGGCAUCAGAAGAAUCGUCAGAGCGAUCCACCGGGCAAAGUACCCUUGCAGCCACCCAUGAACUCCAUGAAGCCCUCGCUCUCACAUGGUGAUGGGUCCUUUCCAUAUGACAGUGUUCCCUGGCAACAAAACGCUAACCAGGCCCCGGGUUCACUGUCGGUAGUUACGACGGUGUGGGGAGUUACCAAUACAUCACAAAGUCAGGUCUUGGGUAACCCCAUGGCCAAUACUAACAAUCCCAUGAACCCUGGAGGCAAUACACUAGGGACGAGUAUGUCAGGCAACAACCCAGGGAUCAACUCACCUCAGUUCCCUGGCCAACAACAACAGUUUUCAGCCAAAGGGGGAUCCAACCAGGCCUACAUGCAGCAAAGCAUGUAUGGGCGUCCAGGUUACCCAGGUGGGCCAAAUGCUCCGGGUGGCAUAGGCAUGCCCCCCCAUACACGACCGCCCUCUGAUUUCACCCAACCUGCUGCUGCUGCCGCCGCCGCCGCCGUCGCUGCUGCCGCCGCCACCGCAACAGCUACUGCCACAGCAACCGUGGCAGCCCUGCAAGAGACCAAUAAAGACAUGAACCAGUAUAACCAGAUGGGGCCUACGCAAGGCUACAAUAACCAGUUCAUGAACCAGCCAGGGCCCCGUGGACCCCCGUCCAUGGCUGGAGGCAUGAACCCAGCUGGUAUGGGUGGUGGCAUGAAUAGCUCCAACAUGAGUGGCCCACCAAUGGGUAUGAACCAGCCCAGAGGCCCAGGAAUGGGGCCCUUCGGUGGCCACGGCCAAAGGAUGCCUCAACAGGGUUACCCUGGACCCAGACCUCAGUCCAUGCCCAUGCAGGGCACCAAGAGGCACUAUCCAGGAGAGCCUAAUUAUGGAGGCCAGCAGUUUGGACCCAACGGCCAGUUUCCCAACCAGCAAGGGCAGUACCCUAACCCAAACGCUUCUAGAGCCCUUCCUUCACCCAAUUACCCUGGCCAAAGGAUGCCAGGACAACAGGGCUCUGGCCAGUACCCCCCUACUGGGCCUCCUCGGCAGGUGGUGAACUACCCACACUCGCCAGUUCCUGGGAACCCCACGCCACCCAUGACCCCUGGAAGUAGUAUACCAUACAUGUCGCCCAGUCAAGAUGUCAAGCCCCCGUUUCCUCCAGACAUGAAGCCAAACAUGACGUCUUUGCCUCCACCUCCAAGUGAGUCACCCAACCCCAAUGAGGAGCUGCGUUUGACGUUCCCAGUGAGAGACGGAGUGGUGCUGGAGCCCUUUAGAUUAGAGCACAACCUGGCCGUCAGUAACCACGUCUUCCAUCUGCGCCCCUCCGUCCACCAGACGCUUAUGUGGAGAUCUGAUCUGGAGCUGCAGUUUAAGUGCUAUCAUCAUGAGGACCGACAAAUGAACACCAAUUGGCCCGCAUCCGUCCAAGUCAGCGUCAAUGCCACCCCCCUCACUAUUGAGAGGGGCGACAAUAAAACAUCCCACAAACCCCUGCAUCUAAAGCAUGUGUGUCAGCCAGGGAGAAACACCAUCCAGAUUACGGUCACAGCCUGCUGUUGUUCGCACUUGUUCGUGCUGCAGCUGGUCCAUAGGCCUUCGGUGCGAUCGGUCCUGCAAGGGCUCCUCAAGAAGAGGCUCCUUCCUGCCGAACAUUGCAUUACCAAAAUUAAAAGAAACUUCAGUAGCGUAGCAGCGUCCUCUGGGAAUGCCACACUAAAUGGAGAGGAUGGAGUAGAGCAGACAGCCAUCAAAGUGUCCCUCAAGUGUCCAAUCACAUUCCGACGGAUCCAGCUCCCUGCUAGGGGACAUGACUGCAAACACGUGCAGUGCUUUGACUUAGAGUCCUAUCUUCAGCUCAACUGUGAGAGAGGAACGUGGAGAUGUCCUGUAUGCAAUAAAACAGCAUUAUUGGAAGGGCUGGAGGUGGAUCAGUACAUGUGGGGAAUUCUCAAUGCGAUCCAAAAUUCGGAGUUUGAAGAGGUCACCAUCGACCCUACGUGUAGUUGGAGGCCGGUGCCCAUAAAGUCAGACAUUCAUAUAAAGGAGGACCCAGAUGGCCCUCUGGCCAAGCGUUUUAAGACCAUGAGUCCCAGUCAAAUGAUCAUGCCUAAUGUGUUGGAUAUGAUCGCCCAGCUGGGUCCCGGCCCUUCACCCUACACCCCCCUCCCCCCUCAGCACGGAGGAAAUAAUGGCGAAUAUGGGGGCCAUGGCAAUAGUUAUCAGGGCCAUGGAAACUUUGACUUCUCCCACAGUAACUCUGGUGGCGGAACUCCCAUGAAUGACUUCAUGCAUGGACCCCAGCUCUCACAUCCUCCAGACAUGCCCAGCAGCCUCAUGGGCCCUGACAAGCCUCUCGCCCACGGCAUGCCCGACUCGAUGCCCCGUCCUGUGAGCGCUGAUCAAUCCCAUGCUUCCAUGCAGCCAGGCAUGCACGCAUCCCCUCACCCCAACAGCCAAUCAGCUCAGCCAUUGCAUCACAGCGGCCCCCCAUCCUCCCAGCACCCACGCCAGCCCCCGCCCCCCCAGCAGCCAGGCCAAAACAGUCACCCACAUGCCGAAAUGACCUUCAACCCCGCCGCUGAUGGGCAGGCAGGUGGCCAGGGACCUGCAGACAUGCCCGAGCCUUCUCUGGAUCUUCUGCCAGAACUGGCGAACCCAGACGAGUUGCUGUCAUACUUAGACCCUCCUGACCUCCCAAGCAGCAGCAAUGACGAUCUGCUUUCCCUUUUUGAGAACAACUGACUUCUUUCAGUCGGCCUUUUGCAGAGGCCCUAAUUUGUUUGGCUGUCAGGAAUCGAGAGGCACCUGAAGACUGACUCUGUACUUUGCAAACAGGAAACAGCCAUCCUUUUGCCUCUUCCUCGU
Cyprinus carpio (common carp) is the source of this 3765-nucleotide long non-coding RNA. The record is from Ensembl. Lineage: Eukaryota; Metazoa; Chordata; Actinopteri; Cypriniformes; Cyprinidae.